This is a long non-coding RNA of Oreochromis aureus, 559 nucleotides long. RefSeq lists it as uncharacterized. The record is from RefSeq and is a predicted model, not a curated record. NCBI's taxonomy places the organism in Eukaryota, Metazoa, Chordata, Actinopteri, Cichliformes, Cichlidae. The transcript has 5 exons.
GAAAUCUGCACGUGAAACAUGAGGAGUCCAGCAGCCAGAGGGAUGAGUGGACAGCGGGGAUAAAAACAUAAAGUCUUCUUCCUGUGUUUGUAUGACAGUGAACCCUGGAUUGAUUAUGAGCACGAUGAUGGCAGCGAUCACAACGCCGGCACAAGUGGAAGCAACAGAAAGAUGCCCUCGGAGCUGCUGCCGCACGAAUGCAGAUGCCAUGCACAAAGCCCAAGGCCAGGAUGCUGGUAGAAUGCAGGCAACUGAUUGAUGGGAGCGAGGCGGCCUCUCUCGGGGACCAAUCCCUGCUGCCAUUACUCACCCUGGAAGGAACUGUAACUUCGGGAAACAACACCUCCAAAGGAACUUGCUAUAUGUUUCACAGCUGAUGUGCCAGAUUAGUGGCAUAUUUUUAGUUCCUGUAAAGGAUAACUGCAGCACUCUUUCACAUCAGUCUUACUGUCAACAAAUGUUAUAUAAAGACCAACAAUAAUGAGUGUUUCCCAGCUUUACAACUGGAGCACUGCUCCCAACGGAACAACUAAGUAUAAUUCAUGCUUCAGUAACUUAA